AUUGAACGCUUGCGGCAGGCUUUACACAUGCAAGUCGAGCGAGCGGCGGACGGGUUAGUAAUGUCUGGGAAACUGCCUGAUGGAGGGGAAUGACGACUGGAAACGGUAGCUAAUACCGCAUACCAUCAGAUGUGCCCAGAUGGGAGUGGCUAGAAGGUGGGGUAAUGGCUCACCUCGGCGACGAUCCCUAGCUGGUCUAAGAGGAUGACUCGCCACACUGGAACGGAGACAGGGACGAGACGCCUACGGGAGGCAGCAGUGGGGAAUAUUGCACAAUGGGCGCAAGCCGGAUGCAGCCAGGCCGCGUGUGUGAAGAAGGCCUUCGGGUGGUAAAGCACUUUCAGCGAGGAGGCGUUACUCGCAGAAGAAGCACCGGCUAACUACGUGCCAGCAGCCGCGGUAAUUC
Molecule: ribosomal RNA, 406 nt
Filed under: uncultured bacterium
Lineage: Bacteria
Description: partial 16S ribosomal RNA
Rfam family: Bacterial small subunit ribosomal RNA
Source: RNAcentral